UGGGGAAUAUUGCACAAUGGGGGAAACCCUGAUGCAGCGACGCCGCGUGAGGGAAGAAGGUUUUCGGAUUGUAAACCUCUGUCUUCGGUGAAGAAAAUGACGGUAGCCGAAGAGGAAGCCACGGCUAACUACGUGCCAGCAGCCGCGGUAAUACGUAGGUGGCAAGCGUUGUCCGGAAUUACUGGGUGUAAAGGGAGCGUAGGCGGGAAUACAAGUUGAAUGUGAAAGCUAUGGGCUUAACCCAUAAACUGCGUUCAAAACUGUAUUUCUUGAGUGAAGUAGAGGCAGGCGGAAUUCCUAGUGUAGCGGUGGAAUGCGUAGAUAUUAGGAGGAACACCAGUGGCGAAGGCGGCCUGCUGGGCUUUAACUGACGCUGAGGCUCGAAAGCGUGGGGAGCAAACA
The sequence is a ribosomal RNA, 402 nucleotides long. It matches the Rfam family "Bacterial small subunit ribosomal RNA", at positions 355 to 774 of the family's 1533-position model.